This 254-nucleotide ribosomal RNA is filed under the name uncultured bacterium. Its description in RNAcentral is "partial 16S ribosomal RNA". It matches the Rfam family "Bacterial small subunit ribosomal RNA", at positions 524 to 776 of the family's 1533-position model. The record is from RNAcentral.
CACGUAGGGUGCGAGCGUUGUCCGGAAUUAUUGGGCGUAAAGAGCUCGUAGGCGGUGUGUCGCGUCGGCCGUGAAAACCUGGGGCUUAACUCUGGGCUUGCGGUCGAUACGGGCAUCACUGGAGUUCGGCAGGGGAGACUGGAAUUCCUGGUGUAGCGGUGAAAUGCGCAGAUAUCAGGAGGAACACCGGUGGCGAAGGCGGGUCUCUGGGCCGAUACUGACGCUGAGGAGCGAAGGCGUGGGGAGCGAACAGG